This 2766-nucleotide ribosomal RNA is filed under the name Escherichia coli. Its description in RNAcentral is "bacterial LSU rRNA". It matches the Rfam family "Bacterial large subunit ribosomal RNA". Lineage: Bacteria; Pseudomonadati; Pseudomonadota; Gammaproteobacteria; Enterobacterales; Enterobacteriaceae. The record is from RNAcentral.
GGCAGUCAGAGGCGAUGAAGGACGUGCUAAUCUGCGAUAAGCGUCGGUAAGGUGAUAUGAACCGUUAUAACCGGCGAUUUCCGAAUGGGGAAACCCAGUGUGUUUCGACACACUAUCAUUAACUGAAUCCAUAGGUUAAUGAGGCGAACCGGGGGAACUGAAACAUCUAAGUACCCCGAGGAAAAGAAAUCAACCGAGAUUCCCCCAGUAGCGGCGAGCGAACGGGGAGCAGCCCAGAGCCUGAAUCAGUAUGUGUGUUAGUGGAAGCGUCUGGAAAGGCGCGCGAUACAGGGUGACAGCCCCGUACACAAAAAUGCACAUGCUGUGAGCUCGAUGAGUAGGGCGGGACACGUGGUAUCCUGUCUGAAUAUGGGGGGACCAUCCUCCAAGGCUAAAUACUCCUGACUGACCGAUAGUGAACCAGUACCGUGAGGGAAAGGCGAAAAGAACCCCGGCGAGGGGAGUGAAAAAGAACCUGAAACCGUGUACGUACAAGCAGUGGGAGCUCGCUUAGGCGUGUGACUGCGUACCUUUUGUAUAAUGGGUCAGCGACUUAUAUUCUGUAGCAAGGUUAACCGAAUAGGGGAGCCGAAGGGAAACCGAGUCUUAACUGGGCGUUAAGUUGCAGGGUAUAGACCCGAAACCCGGUGAUCUAGCCAUGGGCAGGUUGAAGGUUGGGUAACACUAACUGGAGGACCGAACCGACUAAUGUUGAAAAAUUAGCGGAUGACUUGUGGCUGGGGGUGAAAGGCCAAUCAAACCGGGAGAUAGCUGGUUCUCCCCGAAAGCUAUUUAGGUAGCGCCUCGUGAAUUCAUCUCCGGGGGUAGAGCACUGUUUCGGCAAGGGGGUCAUCCCGACUUACCAACCCGAUGCAAACUGCGAAUACCGGAGAAUGUUAUCACGGGAGACACACGGCGGGUGCUAACGUCCGUCGUGAAGAGGGAAACAACCCAGACCGCCAGCUAAGGUCCCAAAGUCAUGGUUAAGUGGGAAACGAUGUGGGAAGGCCCAGACAGCCAGGAUGUUGGCUUAGAAGCAGCCAUCAUUUAAAGAAAGCGUAAUAGCUCACUGGUCGAGUCGGCCUGCGCGGAAGAUGUAACGGGGCUAAACCAUGCACCGAAGCUGCGGCAGCGACGCUUAUGCGUUGUUGGGUAGGGGAGCGUUCUGUAAGCCUGCGAAGGUGUGCUGUGAGGCAUGCUGGAGGUAUCAGAAGUGCGAAUGCUGACAUAAGUAACGAUAAAGCGGGUGAAAAGCCCGCUCGCCGGAAGACCAAGGGUUCCUGUCCAACGUUAAUCGGGGCAGGGUGAGUCGACCCCUAAGGCGAGGCCGAAAGGCGUAGUCGAUGGGAAACAGGUUAAUAUUCCUGUACUUGGUGUUACUGCGAAGGGGGGACGGAGAAGGCUAUGUUGGCCGGGCGACGGUUGUCCCGGUUUAAGCGUGUAGGCUGGUUUUCCAGGCAAAUCCGGAAAAUCAAGGCUGAGGCGUGAUGACGAGGCACUACGGUGCUGAAGCAACAAAUGCCCUGCUUCCAGGAAAAGCCUCUAAGCAUCAGGUAACAUCAAAUCGUACCCCAAACCGACACAGGUGGUCAGGUAGAGAAUACCAAGGCGCUUGAGAGAACUCGGGUGAAGGAACUAGGCAAAAUGGUGCCGUAACUUCGGGAGAAGGCACGCUGAUAUGUAGGUGAAGUCCCUCGCGGAUGGAGCUGAAAUCAGUCGAAGAUACCAGCUGGCUGCAACUGUUUAUUAAAAACACAGCACUGUGCAAACACGAAAGUGGACGUAUACGGUGUGACGCCUGCCCGGUGCCGGAAGGUUAAUUGAUGGGGUCAGCGCAAGCGAAGCUCUUGAUCGAAGCCCCGGUAAACGGCGGCCGUAACUAUAACGGUCCUAAGGUAGCGAAAUUCCUUGUCGGGUAAGUUCCGACCUGCACGAAUGGCGUAAUGAUGGCCAGGCUGUCUCCACCCGAGACUCAGUGAAAUUGAACUCGCUGUGAAGAUGCAGUGUACCCGCGGCAAGACGGAAAGACCCCGUGAACCUUUACUAUAGCUUGACACUGAACAUUGAGCCUUGAUGUGUAGGAUAGGUGGGAGGCUUUGAAGUGUGGACGCCAGUCUGCAUGGAGCCGACCUUGAAAUACCACCCUUUAAUGUUUGAUGUUCUAACGUUGACCCGUAAUCCGGGUUGCGGACAGUGUCUGGUGGGUAGUUUGACUGGGGCGGUCUCCUCCUAAAGAGUAACGGAGGAGCACGAAGGUUGGCUAAUCCUGGUCGGACAUCAGGAGGUUAGUGCAAUGGCAUAAGCCAGCUUGACUGCGAGCGUGACGGCGCGAGCAGGUGCGAAAGCAGGUCAUAGUGAUCCGGUGGUUCUGAAUGGAAGGGCCAUCGCUCAACGGAUAAAAGGUACUCCGGGGAUAACAGGCUGAUACCGCCCAAGAGUUCAUAUCGACGGCGGUGUUUGGCACCUCGAUGUCGGCUCAUCACAUCCUGGGGCUGAAGUAGGUCCCAAGGGUAUGGCUGUUCGCCAUUUAAAGUGGUACGCGAGCUGGGUUUAGAACGUCGUGAGACAGUUCGGUCCCUAUCUGCCGUGGGCGCUGGAGAACUGAGGGGGGCUGCUCCUAGUACGAGAGGACCGGAGUGGACGCAUCACUGGUGUUCGGGUUGUCAUGCCAAUGGCACUGCCCGGUAGCUAAAUGCGGAAGAGAUAAGUGCUGAAAGCAUCUAAGCACGAAACUUGCCCCGAGAUGAGUUCUCCCUGACUCCUUGA